This 77-nucleotide transfer RNA is filed under the name Bacteroidetes bacterium 4572_77. Its description in RNAcentral is "tRNA-Arg". It matches the Rfam family "tRNA". From Rfam's summary of the family: Transfer RNA (tRNA) molecules are approximately 80 nucleotides in length. Their secondary structure includes four short double-helical elements and three loops (D, anti-codon, and T loops). Lineage: Bacteria; Pseudomonadati; Bacteroidota. The record is from RNAcentral.
GGUCCAGUAGCUCAGCUGGAUAGAGCAGCAGCCUUCUAAGCUGCGGGUCACAGGUUCGAGUCCUGUCUGGAUCACCA